Molecule: ribosomal RNA, 496 nt
Filed under: uncultured bacterium
Lineage: Bacteria
Description: partial 16S ribosomal RNA
Rfam family: Bacterial small subunit ribosomal RNA
Source: RNAcentral
AUGCACGCUGGCGGCGUGCCUAAUACAUGCAAGUCGAGCGAACAGACGAGGAGCUUGCUCCUCUGACGUUAGCGGCGGACGGGUGAGUAACACGUGGAUAACCUACCUAUAAGACUGGGAUAACUUCGGGAAACCGGAGCUAAUACCGGAUAAUAUAUUGAACCGCAUGGUUCAAUAGUGAAAGACGGUUUUGCUGUCACUUAUAGAUGGAUCCGCGCCGCAUUAGCUAGUUGGUAAGGUAACGGCUUACCAAGGCAACGAUGCGUAGCCGACCUGAGAGGGUGAUCGGCCACACUGGAACUGAGACACGGUCCAGACUCCUACGGGAGGCAGCAGUAGGGAAUCUUCCGCAAUGGGCGAAAGCCUGACGGAGCAACGCCGCGUGAGUGAUGAAGGUCUUCGGAUCGUAAAACUCUGUUAUUAGGGAAGAACAAAUGUGUAAGUAACUAUGCACGUCUUGACGGUACCUAAUCGGAAAGCCACGGCUAACUACGUG